This is a long non-coding RNA of Hemicordylus capensis (graceful crag lizard), 1293 nucleotides long. RefSeq lists it as uncharacterized. Lineage: Eukaryota; Metazoa; Chordata; Lepidosauria; Squamata; Cordylidae. The transcript has 3 exons. The record is from RefSeq and is a predicted model, not a curated record.
CAAGAUGAGACACCCCUCCACCUGCACUGCCUUGAUCAGGUUUUAUUUAAAGGUAUCCAUACAUUUGGGAUACCUAUGUACUGCACAGAUUGACUCAUCACUAUCUUAAUGAUCCAUAGAGAGCAGGUCUGGAGGAAGACUUCUCUGGAAACUGACAAACAGGACAAGCACAGUUGGCAGUUUUGACUCAUGGAUAGAUGAGAGCACAUCAACAGGACAGAUGUUGCAGAAGCACAUUUGUUGGACUGAGGUGGAAAAAAGUACUUAGCUACAACAAAAUCCACUGCAACCCUCAAAAUACCUACUCUUGAAUCUGACAUCUGCAAUUGUAGUAUCAUGUGCAAGGAAGCAGAACUAUAGUGCUAAAGUAAUCAAAGAAUGGGGAGAAUUACUAUGUUUAUUGACAGGUGUCUGUGUUUAGGAAGGAGGAAUUCUCUAAUUAACCUUCCCACCCUCUCGUACUAAAUUAUAGGCACGGGCAUUGCCUCAGAGUAUAGUCACUCCACUCCUUUGCCUAUCAGCGGCAGCAAAGGUCUGAGCUCCUCUCAGGGAGUCCAACAGACCAAGAAACCCCAUCCCUGCUGUCUCAUCUUCUGCAGCCCCUGCCUUACAUAAAGCCGUACAUUUAGGACACUCCUCCCCACUUCCAGCUUGCUCCUUCUUCCCUGGCCAGGCAAGUGGAUUGGCCACCCAAUCCCUGGCCUCCCAAGGGGCCUUUUUCUCCAACUCCACCUGCUUCACUAGCCUUUCCACACAGGGCUGCAGCUGUGGAGCUGAUAUCAUCACUAUUCCAUCACCACCAUUCUGCUGCCGCUUGGGCCAUACCCGCCCAUCCUGUUUUCUGCCUCUCUGAGCCCUUCCUGACUUCUGAAAGGUAAUUACUGGGGUUGUCCUGGCAACUGGAGCCCUCUGCUUCUCCGGGCACACUGCCAUUUGACUGGGUGAACAACCCUGUCUCACUGAGGAGGGUAGAAAACCCCGACAACAGGUAAAACUUUUAUUGAUAUGCAAUAAGGAGAAUAACUUCAUCAGAGUAAGUUAUCUUGGUUUAUUAGCAUCAUUGCAUAGGGGAAGCUUUCUCCACAAUGAAAUCUGUAUUGAAUACUGCAGUAUAAUUUAGAACAGUAAAGGUUGUAGACAAAUCCAGCAAGAGAGAUAUGCAUAUAUGUGAAGAUGUGGAUACCUAUGGAUUUAUAUCCCCAUUGCAAUGUGUACCUUAGCCAUAUUGGAAUAGGUUGGAUGUGUCUUUCAGUGCUUUCCAAAAACUGCUAUGGAAAUCAAUUUCAGUGUGCA